GACGAACGCUGGCGGCGUGCUUAACACAUGCAAGUCGAACGGAAAGGCCCUGCUUUUGUGGGGUGCUCGAGUGGCGAACGGGUGAGUAACACGUGAGUAACCUGCCCUUGACUUUGGGAUAACUUCAGGAAACUGGGGCUAAUACCGGAUAGGAGCUCCUGCUGCAUGGUGGGGGUUGGAAAGUUUCGGCGGUUGGGGAUGGACUCGCGGCUUAUCAGCUUGUUGGUGGGGUAGUGGCUUACCAAGGCUUUGACGGGUAGCCGGCCUGAGAGGGUGACCGGCCACAUUUGGACUGAGAUACGGCCCAGACUCCUACGGGAGGCGGCAGUGGGGAAUAUUGCACAAUGGGCGGAAGCCUGAUGCAGCAACGCCGCGUGCGGGAUGACGGCCUUCGGGUUGUAAACCGCUUUCGCCUGUGACGAAGCGUGAGUGACGGUAAUGGGUAAAGAAGCACCGGCUAACUACGUG
RNAcentral lists this ribosomal RNA (468 nucleotides) under uncultured bacterium. RNAcentral describes it as "partial 16S ribosomal RNA". It matches the Rfam family "Bacterial small subunit ribosomal RNA", at positions 28 to 507 of the family's 1533-position model. The record is from RNAcentral.